Eubalaena glacialis (North Atlantic right whale) is the source of this 579-nucleotide long non-coding RNA. RefSeq lists it as uncharacterized. The record is from RefSeq and is a predicted model, not a curated record. The transcript has 4 exons. Lineage: Eukaryota; Metazoa; Chordata; Mammalia; Artiodactyla; Balaenidae.
AGGACAGCACUGACCACAUCCAAGACCCUAGACGAUGCAGUGCUCCUGGGAGCUGUGGUACAGUCAGACGGUGGUAACUGGGGCGUGCCUGGCUGCCUUGAAUGAUUAAGAGCAUAUCUAUCCUCCUACCUGGAGUCCACUCUAGUGAAACUGGGAUCCGGAAUGAGGUAGCCCCUCGCGUUCUGUAAAACACUGCCAAAAUUAUAAAACUUGGAUUUAAUUCAACCAGAAACCAGGGCUGCUCUGGGAAGCAGCAGAACCACUUCAACCCCUGGGAACAGGGCCAUGUUUGGAAGUCUCACAGGAUCCUGGAGGUGAAAGUCCAAUUUAGGGAAGACAGCUGGAUUCAGAGAAGACGGGUGAGGGCAGAGGAGGAGGAACAAGAGAGGUACACAGGCAGAACCGCGGCACUCCCUACAAAGUGGAAAAAUAACUACCAAGUACGUGACUCUGAAUUAGAAAGGGAAACGGGCAGAAGAAAACGAAGGCGUGUUACUAUUAACAUUUUUGUCUGUCUAGAGGACUAAAACAUGUCAUAAUUCAGAACCACAGUGCCCAAUAUGAGUUCCUGGUCAGUGC